ACGGGAGGCAGCAGUGGGGAAUAUUGCACAAUGGGGGAAACCCUGGUGCAGCGACGCCGCGUGAGCGAAGAAGUAUUUCGGUAUGUAAAGCUCUAUCAGCAGGGAAGAAAAUGACGGUACCUGACUAAGAAGCCCCGGCUAACUACGUGCCAGCAGCCGCGGUAAUACGUAUGGUGCAAGCGUUAUCCGGAUUUACUGGGUGUAAAGGGAGCGCAGGCGGUACGGCAAGUCUGAUGUGAAAGCCCGGGGCUCAACCCCGGUACUGCAUUGGAAACUGUCGAACUAGAGUGUCGGAGGGGUAAGUGGAAUUCCUAGUGUAGCGGUGAAAUGCGUAGAUAUUAGGAGGAACACCAGUGGCGAAGGCGACUUACUGGACGAUAACUGACGCUGAGGCUCGAAAGCGUGGGGAGCAAACAGGAUUAGAUACCCUGGUA
This 434-nucleotide ribosomal RNA is filed under the name uncultured Roseburia sp. RNAcentral describes it as "partial 16S ribosomal RNA". It matches the Rfam family "Bacterial small subunit ribosomal RNA", at positions 341 to 792 of the family's 1533-position model. Lineage: Bacteria; Bacillati; Bacillota; Clostridia; Lachnospirales; Lachnospiraceae. The record is from RNAcentral.